Microcebus murinus (gray mouse lemur) is the source of this 595-nucleotide RNA transcript. It is a transcript of the gene named neuronal regeneration-related protein pseudogene, with no coding region annotated. NCBI's taxonomy places the organism in Eukaryota, Metazoa, Chordata, Mammalia, Primates, Cheirogaleidae. The record is from RefSeq and is a predicted model, not a curated record.
AUUUGUGUUUCAGGUGUAGAGAGGAGAGAGAGUGAACAGGGAGCGGGGCUUUUGUCUGUUGGUCUCCCUGGACUGAAGAGAGGGAGAGUAGACGCCCAAGACUAAGAUUCUCAAAAUGGUUUAUUACCCAGGAGUCUGUGUCUGGGUCGGUCAAGAACCAUUUCCAAACAAGGAAAUGGAGGGAAGGCUUCCUCAGGGAAGACUUCCAGUCCCAAAGGAAGUGAACCGCAAGAAGAAGGAUGUGACGGCUGCUGCCUCCCUGACCCCACCGGGUGGCAAUGAACUCCGCUCCGCGAGCAUCAGUUACCUCCACUUUUUUUAAUUGUAACACCUCCAUUUGUAUUACAUAUGGUGUAUGGGUAUUGAUGAGGUCAUGGUAUCAUAUAUGGGAUUUUUUUCUGUGUAAAUCAUCAAGUAUAAGAAGAAACUAUGGGACUCUGAGCCUUGCUUUAGAGAAUUUACAGUGGACAAAUAGCUAUCAUCAAACCAGUUUUUAAUCAUUCUGACUCAAGUGAAAACGCUCAGAAUUUCACACUGUGAAUCCACGUUUACAACCCUUACAGGUGGGCCUUCAGGCCUGGUUCGCUACGACAAG